RNAcentral lists this unclassified non-coding RNA (301 nucleotides) under Hevea brasiliensis (rubber tree). The record is from RNAcentral. Lineage: Eukaryota; Viridiplantae; Streptophyta; Magnoliopsida; Malpighiales; Euphorbiaceae.
AGUGAGGGAAGAGAUUCUUAAGGCCCUUUUGAAUGCAGACCUUAUUGGCUUUCACACUUUCGACUAUGCUCGACACUUCCUGUCUUGUUGUAGUCGGAUGUUGGGUUUGGAAUAUCAGUCAAAGAGGGGUUAUAUUGGGUUGGAAUAUUUUGGAAGGACCGUGGGGAUAAAGAUCAUGCCUGUUGGAAUUCACAUGGGCCAGAUGGAGUCAGUGUUAAGACUUGCUGAUAAAGACUGGAGGGUACAGGAGCUCAAAAGACAGUUUGAAGGAAAAGUUGUGUUACUUGGAGUUGAUGACAUG